Molecule: long non-coding RNA, 354 nt
Filed under: Homo sapiens (human)
Lineage: Eukaryota; Metazoa; Chordata; Mammalia; Primates; Hominidae
Description: HSALNT0254153
Source: RNAcentral
GUCCCACCCACGCUCCCGGUCUACACCAGACACUGUCCCACCCACGCUCCCGGUCUACACCACUGUCCCACCCACGCUCCCGGUCUGGGUUUGAAGAUCACUAGACACUCAACAUUCGUCUGAUUCUUCUCCUUCAAGGCAUUUCUCCCAGUUCAGAGCUUAUUUAUUACUUUUGUUAUGAUUAUUUUUUGAGAGAGUCUUGCUCUGUUGCCCAGGCUGGAGAGCAGUGGUGUGGUCAUAGCUCACUGCAACCUCUUAACUCCUGGGCUCAGCCUCCCGAGCAGAAGAAUCGCUUGAACCUGGGAGUUGGAGGUUGCAGUGAGCUGAGAUCACGCCAUUGCACUCCAGCCUGAG